UGUGGAACGCGGUUCCAUGCAAGUCGACGGCAGCACGGACUUCGGUCUGGUGGCGAGUGGCGAACGGGUGAGUAAUGUAUCGGAACGUGCCCAGUAGCGGGGGAUAACUACGCGAAAGCGUAGCUAAUACCGCAUACGCCCUACGGGGGAAAGCAGGGGAUCGCAAGACCUUGCACUAUUGGAGCGGCCGAUAUCGGAUUAGCUAGUUGGUGGGGUAACGGCUCACCAAGGCGACGAUCCGUAGCUGGUUUGAGAGGACGACCAGCCACACUGGGACUGAGACACGGCCCAGACUCCUACGGGAGGCAGCAGUGGGGAAUUUUGGACAAUGGGGGAAACCCUGAUCCAGCCAUCCCGCGUGUGCGAUGAAGGCCUUCGGGUUGUAAAGCACUUUUGGCAGGAAAGAAACGUCGCGGGUUAAUACCUCGCGAAACUGACGGUACCUGCAGAAUAAGCACCGGCUAACUACGUGCCAGCAGCCGCGGUAAUACGUAGGGUGCAAGCGUUAAUCGGAAUUACUGGGCGUAAAGCGUGCGCAGGCGGUUCGGAA
Molecule: ribosomal RNA, 550 nt
Filed under: Achromobacter piechaudii
Lineage: Bacteria; Pseudomonadati; Pseudomonadota; Betaproteobacteria; Burkholderiales; Alcaligenaceae
Description: bacterial SSU rRNA
Rfam family: Bacterial small subunit ribosomal RNA
Source: RNAcentral